GUGCUUGCUUUGGCAGCACACAUACUACAAUCAGAAUGAUACAGAGAAGAUUGGCAUGACCCUUGAGCAAGGAUGACCCACGAAUUUGUGAAGUAUUCCAUAUUAAA
Small nuclear RNA from Perognathus longimembris pacificus (Pacific pocket mouse), 107 nucleotides. NCBI's taxonomy places the organism in Eukaryota, Metazoa, Chordata, Mammalia, Rodentia, Heteromyidae. The record is from RefSeq and is a predicted model, not a curated record.